This 253-nucleotide ribosomal RNA is filed under the name uncultured bacterium. RNAcentral describes it as "partial 16S ribosomal RNA". It matches the Rfam family "Bacterial small subunit ribosomal RNA", at positions 524 to 776 of the family's 1533-position model. The record is from RNAcentral.
UACGUAGGGACCUAGCGUUGUCCGGAAUCAUUGGGCGUAAAGGGCGCGUAGGUGGUUGCGUAAGUAACGUGUGAAAUCCCUCGGCUUACCCGGGGAAUUGCGCGUUAUACUGCGUGACUUGAGGAUCUCAGGGGAAGGGGGAACUCCAGGUGUAGCGGUGAAAUGCGCAGAUAUCUGGGGGAAGGCCGGCGGCGAAGGCGCCCUUCUGGGAGAUUCCUGACACUGAGGCGCGAAAGCGUGGGGAGCAAACGGG